UUACAGAACUCACUGUUUACGAUAAAAAAAAACUCACUGUAAGGACCAUUUAGCUAAGAGUCCUGACUGGCAGGUACUAUUGUUUUUCAUUUUAAUACAGGGGAAAUAUGCACUAAUCUACUGAUGAUCUAAAAGAUUCAGCUUCAAAUGGUGAUCACAAUACAGCCAUUUAAUCCUACAAAUGGAGCACCUUGCUAUAAAAAGUUGGAAUUCAACAUGCAAACAUAAAAGAAAAAUGCCCAGUUA
Molecule: unclassified non-coding RNA, 246 nt
Filed under: Hevea brasiliensis (rubber tree)
Lineage: Eukaryota; Viridiplantae; Streptophyta; Magnoliopsida; Malpighiales; Euphorbiaceae
Source: RNAcentral